CUGGCCUACGGGAGGCAGCAGUGGGGAAUAUUGCGCAAUGGGCGAAAGCCUGACGCAGCGACGCCGCGUGAGGGAUGAAGGUCUUCGGAUCGUAAACCUCUGUCAGCAGGGAAGAACGGUCACUGUGCUAAUCAGCAGUGAAUUGACGGUACCUGCAAAGGAAGCACCGGCUAACUCCGUGCCAGCAGCCGCGGUAAUACGGAGGGUGCGAGCGUUAAUCGGAAUUACUGGGCGUAAAGCGCUCGUAGGCGGUCCGGAAAGUCAGCGGUAAAAGCCCGGGGCUCAACCCCGGCGAGCCGUUGAAA
Molecule: ribosomal RNA, 305 nt
Filed under: uncultured bacterium
Lineage: Bacteria
Description: bacterial SSU rRNA
Rfam family: Bacterial small subunit ribosomal RNA
Source: RNAcentral